RNAcentral lists this ribosomal RNA (492 nucleotides) under uncultured bacterium. RNAcentral's name for it is "partial 16S ribosomal RNA". It matches the Rfam family "Bacterial small subunit ribosomal RNA", at positions 29 to 507 of the family's 1533-position model. The record is from RNAcentral.
AUUGAACGCUGGCGGCAUGCUUUACACAUGCAAGUCGAACGGUAACAGGCCUUCGGGUGCUGACGAGUGGCGAACGGGUGAGUAAUGCAUCGGAACGUGCCCAGAGGUGGGGGAUAACGCAGCGAAAGCUGUGCUAAUACCGCAUGUGAUCUGAGGAUGAAAGCGGGGGACCAGGCAGCAAUGUUUGGCCUCGCGCCUUUGGAGCGGCCGAUGUCAGAUUAGGUAGUUGGGGGGGUAAAGGCCUACCAAGCCGACGAUCUGUAGCUGGUCUGAGAGGACGACCAGCGACACUGGGACUGAGACACGGCCCAGACUCCUACGGGAGGCAGCAGUGGGGAAUUUUGGACAAUGGGCGCAAGCCUGAUCCAGCAAUGCCGCGUGCGGGAAGAAGGCCUUCGGGUUGUAAACCGCUUUUGUACGGAACGAAAAGGCUCUGGCUAAUACCUGGGGCUGAUGACGGUACCGUAAGAAUAAGCACCGGCUAACUACGUG